RNAcentral lists this ribosomal RNA (551 nucleotides) under uncultured bacterium. RNAcentral describes it as "bacterial SSU rRNA". It matches the Rfam family "Bacterial small subunit ribosomal RNA", at positions 355 to 896 of the family's 1533-position model. The record is from RNAcentral.
UAGGGAAUCUUCGGCAAUUGGACGAAAGUCUGACCGAGCAACGCCGCGUGAGUGAAGAAGGUUUUCGGAUCGUAAAGCUCUGUUGUAAGAGAAGAACGAGUGUGAGAGUGGAAAGUUCACACUGUGACGGUAUCUUACCAGAAAGGGACGGCUAACUACGUGCCAGCAGCCGCGGUAAUACGUAGGUCCCGAGCGUUGUCCGGAUUUAUUGGGCGUAAAGCGAGCGCAGGCGGUUAGAUAAGUCUGAAGUUAAAGGCUGUGGCUUAACCAUAGUACGCUUUGGAAACUGUUUAACUUGAGUGCAAGAGGGGAGAGUGGAAUUCCAUGUGUAGCGGUGAAAUGCGUAGAUAUAUGGAGGAACACCGGUGGCGAAAGCGGCUCUCUGGCUUGUAACUGACGCUGAGGCUCGAAAGCGUGGGGAGCAAACAGGAUUAGAUACCCUGGUAGUCCACGCCGUAAACGAUGAGUGCUAGGUGUUAGACCCUUUCCGGGGUUUAGUGCCGCAGCUAACGCAUUAAGCACUCCGCCUGGGGAGUACGACCGCAAGGUUG